Molecule: non-coding RNA, 1773 nt
Organism: Aegilops tauschii subsp. strangulata
Lineage: Eukaryota; Viridiplantae; Streptophyta; Magnoliopsida; Poales; Poaceae
Source: RefSeq, a predicted model, not a curated record
AGUCCUGUAAUGGGGAGAGUCUAAUUUCGUGAUUACAUUAAGUAGUACGAACACGUGUAAGCUGCAUGCUAAUGUCCUGUCUUUUGUUCUCCCACUGCUAUAUGUUAUUGUCGUGUCGAAGCAUGUAAUCAUGGUUAUCUCUGUAUAAUAUUAAUCAAGUUCUACCCUCAUGGCAGGCAUUUUUAUUGACGAUUUCUUAUGACUCACACUACAUUUAAUUAAUCAUAACCUCUCAUUUUUUUAUUCACUAUGUGUAGUCACAUCAAUCAUAGCCCAGGAGGAAGAUCUGUUAGGCGGAGAACACCUUCGAUCUUGGUGCACCAGCAGUCGCCGGCUUUUCAGCCUCAUUAUUUUCGCCGAUAUUAUGGCCUCGAGAUGUCGGAUAAAGGCAGCUGCGACGGGGAGACCGCUGAUGACAUCGUUCAUGAAGAUAGCCAAAAUUCAGCAGAGUGGUGACUCAGCUGUGCCACCAGCACCGACAUCUCGCAUGUCUGUCAAGCACACUAUUGAAGUCAUACAGACAUUCAAUGAGUUCAAGUGAUUACUUGUCACGAGCUUUGGCUUUGGCGGCAUGCUCGAACUCCAAAUGUUGCAGAAACUGAACCUCAAAUUCAGUACUUGGACAAUGAGCAAGGUCAGCACCACCCGAUGCGCCAUUGUCCUGGCUGAGAACAAGAUACUUAAGUUCUGAGCAUAGGAUGUUCACAAAGUCUUUGGAUUCCCAUGUAGACAUCGCAACAUAAAGGGUUGGGAUGGCCACAUCAAGCCAGAAGAAAUUAAGUUCAUAAAGUCGAUGUGCUUGUCGGCAAUAGACUCAUUGGUCAUGAACUGAUGUGCUUGCUUUUCCGCCAUUUUGCUCAGCCUGAUUGUCAAGCAGAUACCGGAAACCCCUAUCUAAGCUGGAGGCACCCUAUCGAACCUGAUUUCUCAACUCUGGUGUUGUCUGAUUCUGGUUUCUUCCACACGGUAACAAUACAGAAGUAGUUAUCUGCUGACUCGAUCAAGUAUGACAUAGCAUCGUCUCAAGCGUUCAUCACACCGGUGCCGCGCCCGGAAGGCUGGAUGAUUCUAGUGUGGGAUAUGCUACAAAAAGUAUUAAAUGUGACUGAUCCUCUUUAUGCCAAAAGUUCAACCAAUCACCCAUACAAGGAACGCGACGAAGCCUUGGCAUGGAAGCUGCACAAUGCAUUACUCUCGUGCCUUGGCAUGAAUUCUAUCCCGGAUGGCCAGCAACCAAGGAAAACUGGUGGAUCAAGCAUGAACCCACAACCGAUGACAUCUUCACGACGUAAGUGACACCAGGUCAGGACUACAUCCUUAUUGCUGAAAAGACUCACCCCUCGUUCCAUGUGGCACGCUUUCUGCAUUUUUGCAGCGACAAGACAGGUUUCUGCACAAUGCAUUUCCAACCUGGAAAUUGACACCUCCAUACAAAUUUGUUCACAGCACAACAUAUCCAAAAUACAGAGGGACAGCCUGCAUGAGUGCUUGAAGCUGCAGGGUAAUUUUUCCCAGAUUUCUAAGAAGGCAUUGUGGAAAGUCUUAGCACCUUCAGACUCCUUCGACGACUAGGAAUCCUCCUUCAUCACUCACCGGAGGAAAUUUCAUGCAUCACAUCCUGAUAGUUAUUUGUAGCUUCCCCGUAGAGUUUUUUGGGUUGUAAGGCAGUACAAAUACCAUGAACUUGCCAAAGCUAUGUUGGUUUCAGAUUCUGCCAGAACCUUGUUUAAUUUCUUAUCUGCUUCCCAUUGCUUUGAUCAUCUAGACCCUGUA